Molecule: ribosomal RNA, 482 nt
Filed under: uncultured bacterium
Lineage: Bacteria
Description: partial 16S ribosomal RNA
Rfam family: Bacterial small subunit ribosomal RNA
Source: RNAcentral
AUUGAACGCUGGCGGCAUGCUUUACACAUGCCAGUCGAACGGUAACAGGCCGCAAGGUGCUGACGAGUGGCGAACGGGUGAGUAAUGCAUCGGAACGUGCACAGUCGUGGGGGAUAACUACUCGAAAGAGUAGCUAAUACCGCAUACGAUCUAUGGAUGAAAGCGGGGGACCGUAAGGCCUCGCGCGAUUGGAGCGGCCGAUGUCAGAUUAGGUAGUUGGUGGGGUAAAGGCUCACCAAGCCAACGAUCUGUAGCUGGUCUGAGAGGACGACCAGCCACACUGGGACUGAGACACGGCCCAGACUCCUACGGGAGGCAGCAGUGGGGAAUUUUGGACAAUGGGCGCAAGCCUGAUCCAGCAAUGCCGCGUGCAGGAAGAAGGCCUUCGGGUUGUAAACUGCUUUUGUACGGAACGAAACGGCUCUGGUUAAUACCCGGGGCUAAUGACGGUACCGUAAGAAUAAGCACCGGCUAACUACGUG